UACGUAGGGGGCUAGCGUUGUCCGGAAUCAUUGGGCGUAAAGAGCGUGUAGGCGGCCCGGUAAGUCCGCUGUGAAAGUCGGGGGCUCAACCCUCGAAUGCCGGUGGAUACUGUCGGGCUAGAGUGCGGAAGAGGCGAGUGGAAUUCCUGGUGUAGCGGUGAAAUGCGCAGAUAUCAGGAGGAACACCAAUGGCGAAGGCAGCUCGCUGGGACGGUACUGACGCUGAGACGCGAAAGCGUGGGGAGCGAACAGG
Molecule: ribosomal RNA, 253 nt
Filed under: uncultured bacterium
Lineage: Bacteria
Description: partial 16S ribosomal RNA
Rfam family: Bacterial small subunit ribosomal RNA
Source: RNAcentral